This 900-nucleotide ribosomal RNA is filed under the name uncultured bacterium. Its description in RNAcentral is "bacterial SSU rRNA". It matches the Rfam family "Bacterial small subunit ribosomal RNA", at positions 8 to 916 of the family's 1533-position model. The record is from RNAcentral.
AGAGUUUGAUCAUGGCUCAGGAUUAACGCUGGCGGCGUGCAUAACACAUGCAAGUCGAACGAUGAAACUUAGUAGAUUUCUUCGGAAUGAAGCUAGUGGAUUAGUGGCGGACGGGUGAGUAACACGUGAGUAACCUGCCUUACACAAGGGGAUAGCCAUUGGAAACGAUGAAUAAUACCCUAUGAAGUAGCCUAAUCGCAUGGUUAAGCUACCAAAGUGCUUAGUGGUGUAAGAUGGACUUGCGUCUGAUUAGCUAGUUGGUGAGAUAAAAGCCCACCAAGGCGACGAUCAGUAGCCGGCUUGAGAGAGUGUACGGCCACAUUGGGACUGAGACACGGCCCAAACUCCUACGGGAGGCAGCAGUGGGGAAUUUUGCACAAUGGGGGAAACCCUGAUGCAGCGACGCCGCGUGAUUUAGAAAGUCUUCGGAUUGUAAAAAUCUUUUGUAUAGGAAGAAAAUGACAGUACUAUACGAAUAAGGUCCGGCUAAUUACGUGCCAGCAGCCGCGGUAAUACGUAAGGACCGAGCGUUGUCCGGAAUCAUUGGGCGUAAAGGGUACGUAGGCGGUCUAGUAAGUUAGAAGUGAAAGGCAAUAGCUCAACUAUUGUAAGCUUUUAAAACUGCUAGACUUGAGAGAUUGAAGGGAAAGUGGAAUUCCUAGUGUAGCGGUGAAAUGCGCAGAUAUUAGGAGGAAUACCAGUGGCGAAGGCGACUUUCUGGCAAUCAUCAGACGCUGAGGUACGAAAGCGUGGGUAGCAAACAGGAUUAGAUACCCUGGUAGUCCACGCCGUAAACGAUGAGUGUUAGGUGCCUGGCAAAAGUUGGGUACCGCAGCUAACGCAUUAAACACUCCGCCUGGGGAGUACGCACGCAAGUGUGAAACUCAAAGGAAUUGACGG